This 387-nucleotide unclassified non-coding RNA is filed under the name uncultured Verrucomicrobiae bacterium. Its description in RNAcentral is "contains 16S-23S intergenic spacer region". The record is from RNAcentral. Lineage: Bacteria; Pseudomonadati; Verrucomicrobiota; Verrucomicrobiia.
UCCCCGUUUAAGCGAGGCAGUCUGUCCAGAGUGCUCCCCACUCUCGUGGGGGUGGCAACAGGACACAAGGGUUGCGCUCGUUGCGGGACUUAACCCAACAUCUCACGACACGAGCUGACGACAGCCAUGCAGCACCUGUGCAAGCUCCCCUUGCGGGGUCGUCCCACUUUCAUGGUUCUACCACUUGCAUGUCAAGGCCAGGUAAGGUUCUUCGCGUUGCAUCGAAUUAAGCCACAUACUCCACCGCUUGUGCAGGCCCCCGUCAAUUUCUUUGAGUUUUAAUCUUGCGACCGUACUCCCCAGGCGGCGCGCUUAACGCGUUAGCUUCGCCACAAGAGGGGUCGAUUCCUCUUACAGCAAGCGCGCACCGUUUAGGGCCGGGACUAC